UACGAAGGGGGCUAGCGUUGUUCGGAUUUACUGGGCGUAAAGCGCACGUAGGCGGGUUGUUAAGUCAGGGGUGAAAUCCUGGAGCUCAACUCCAGAACUGCCUUUGAUACUGGCAACCUAGAGGCUGGAAGAGGUUAGUGGAAUUCCCAGUGUAGAAGUGAAAUUCGUAGAUAUUGGGAAGAACACCAGUGGCGAAGGCGGCUCACUGGCUCGAUACUGACGCUGAGGUGCGAAAGCGUGGGGAGCAAACAGG
RNAcentral lists this ribosomal RNA (253 nucleotides) under uncultured bacterium. RNAcentral's name for it is "partial 16S ribosomal RNA". It matches the Rfam family "Bacterial small subunit ribosomal RNA", at positions 524 to 776 of the family's 1533-position model. The record is from RNAcentral.